RNAcentral lists this non-coding RNA (24 nucleotides) under Rattus norvegicus (Norway rat). Lineage: Eukaryota; Metazoa; Chordata; Mammalia; Rodentia; Muridae. The record is from RNAcentral.
UAGUUUCCCAGCUGCCUUUGAAGC